AACGAAACGAACCGUUUUGAUUCGAGUUUAGAUUUCCUCUUUAAUUUAUCCAUUAACGCCUCCGCUGCGGCUCAGCUUCGCUGACUAAGCUAUCGCAGCCACCGGCUACGCUCCUCGAUCAGCUCCAAUCUGUUUUUCGUCAACUGGAUCCUCAGCUUCUAGAGAGAGCUCUGGAAGAAUGUGACAAUGAUUUGCAUUCUGCAAUCAAGAAGCUGAAUGACUCCUUCCUAGGAAUAGCUGAGAAAAGGUUGGAAUCUGUGGAAGAAUUAUCUGCCAGUGAUAAUCAAGGAAAACAUGAUGCUGAAGGAACAAACUGAAAUAGUGAUCAGAGAGAAUUCUGUACUCAAACGUGCUGUGGCUAUUCAGUAUGAACGUCAGAAAGAGUGACAGUGAAAACCAGGAGCUGCAACAUUUGAAACAGUUGGUGUGUAAGUAUCAGGAACAGUCGAGAACCCAGGUAAAGAGCUAUGCGUUGACAAUGCUCUUGAGACAGGCUCAGCAGAAUAGCUUCAUCCCGGGGCGAUUCCAUCCUGAUGUCUUCUAAUAAAGAGUAAGACUGGAGAAAUGGAAGUUAAUGUUCCAUUUAAUGUUAACCAUGGUGUUCCCUUUGAGUUUCUGUCUCUUCCUCUUUCCUUUUAUGAAGAAGCCCUUGAAACAGCUUUUUCUAUGGAGAAAGAGCUGAAAAGCCUCUCAAGGUAAAGAGAUGUUUGCAGGUUAAAAUGGGUUGCAGGGAGACCCACUAUUGAAGGCCAUUAAAGAACCCACUGGAGUUGUUCCUCACUUCCCAAAAUCAGGAGAAGUCAUCUCUGAAGCAUGCAAACUCUAAUAUGGAACAAAUUGUUAACAUGCUAUGGUCAUUGAUGAUUUGCUGGCUACAGGUGGUACACUCUCUGCAGCUAUAAGGCUGUUAAGUGUGGUCUAAAGCUUCAUAUGAUAAUUCUUUUUUUGUUUCAUUAUAAUACUUGCUUUGGCCUCAUAACUGAAACUUUUACAAAUUUUAAUUGCUGUUAAAUAGAGCGUGUUGGAGCUGAAGUAGUUGGAUGUGAAUGCAUUAUUGGGUUGCCUGAGAUUCAGUUUUGAUGGUUUCCGUUCUUGGGUAUUAUUUACCACAUGGUAGUAGACAUACUUUGUUGAGACACUAUAAUGUUGAUAUGAAGGAUUGUGCAAAGACGGAGAGAGGAUUCGACUAAGGAUUAAGAGAGCUAAGUCAUUUCUAAGAAUUCAAGACCAAACCAACUCAAUUAGAGUGCAACUCUAGAUCCAUCCUUAUUAAUUAGGUCUUUACAAAGAGAAUAAUGUUACAAAGAUUCAUACUUAAAAAUUGUUACAUAUUUUAAAAUAUUCAAUGCGAAUAAUAUUAGACGGAAGCAUCUAAUAAAUCAGUAGAUAAUAAACACAAUUGUCUAGAUGUUGAACUAAUUUUGCAGCACAUCAUCUUAUAGUUGAGUGGUCUUUCUCGUACAACAAUGCAAUGUUUUUGCAAGACAAAUUUGGGUACACAAACAACCAUGCACUCCUCUGUGCCCUUCAAGCAUGGUGCUUUCAAUCAAUGUUUUAAAACUCGAGUCGGUACUCAAAUUUUGUUUCUUGAUUAUUGUAAUCAUCCAUCGUUUGUUGGGUUAGUAAGUGUUUUUUAAUUAUUACAAUUAGUUUAAUUUUAUUU
Molecule: long non-coding RNA, 1663 nt
Organism: Mangifera indica (mango)
Lineage: Eukaryota; Viridiplantae; Streptophyta; Magnoliopsida; Sapindales; Anacardiaceae
Exons: 5
Source: RefSeq, a predicted model, not a curated record